This 497-nucleotide ribosomal RNA is filed under the name uncultured bacterium. RNAcentral's name for it is "partial 16S ribosomal RNA". It matches the Rfam family "Bacterial small subunit ribosomal RNA", at positions 28 to 507 of the family's 1533-position model. The record is from RNAcentral.
GAUGAACGCUGGCGGCGUGCCUAAUACAUGCAAGUCGAGCGAACGGACGAGAAGCUUGCUUCUCUGAUGUUAGCGGCGGACGGGUGAGUAACAUGUGGAUAACCUACUUAUAAGACUGGGAUAACUUCGGGAAACCGGAGCUAACACCGGAUGAUAUUUUGAACCGCAUGGUUCAAAAGUGAAAGACGGUCUUGCUGGAACUUAUAGAUGGAUCCGCGCUGCAUUAGCUGGUUGGUCAGGUAACGGCUUACCAAGGCAACGAUGCAUAGCCGACCUGAGAGAGUGAUCGGCCACACUGGAACUGAGCCACGGUCCAGACUCCUACGGGAGGCAGCAGUAGGGAAUCUUCCGCAAUGGGCGAAAGCCUGACGGAGCAACGCCGCGUGAGUGAUGAAGAUCUUCGGAUCGUAAAACUCUGUUAUUAGGGAAGAACAUAUGUGUAAGUAACUGUGCACAUCGUGACGGUACCUAAUCAGAAAGCCACGGCUAACUACGUG